ACGCUCGACACCUACGGUAGGCAGCAGUGGGGAAUAUUGCACAAUGGGGGAAACCCUGAUGCAGCGACGCCGCGUGAAGGAAGAAGUAUCUCGGUAUGUAAACUUCUAUCAGCAGGGAAGAAAGUGACGGUACCUGACUAAGAAGCCCCGGCUAACUACGUGCCAGCAGCCGCGGUAAUCUGAGCGGGCUGGCAAGGC
RNAcentral lists this ribosomal RNA (198 nucleotides) under uncultured bacterium. RNAcentral's name for it is "partial 16S ribosomal RNA". It matches the Rfam family "Bacterial small subunit ribosomal RNA", at positions 326 to 539 of the family's 1533-position model. The record is from RNAcentral.